UGAUCAACAGCAGGGGCAAAUCAACAUGUGGGACAUGUGGGGAAGGUCGGUGGGAGGCCACCGACCCUGGAACCGCCUUUGAUGUGGGGUCGGGCGACCCCAUUUCUGGGCCUCUGGGCCCACCAGCAGUGUCCACAGGGGUCCCUUAUGUCGGUGGACUAGGUGGCACACCUGGGUCCCACCAAAGAGGGGUCGGGCGACCCCCUCCCUGUGGGCCCAGGGUGUCACCUGUUGUCCCCUCGAUCUCCUCUUGAUGAUUCUGAUGUUGGCUUUGUCAAAUAAUGUCUUG
RNAcentral lists this long non-coding RNA (289 nucleotides) under Sorghum bicolor (sorghum). Its description in RNAcentral is "long non-coding RNA (SBIC_LNC006952)". Lineage: Eukaryota; Viridiplantae; Streptophyta; Magnoliopsida; Poales; Poaceae. The record is from RNAcentral.